AGUAACGCGUGGGUAACCGUGCCUCAUACAGGGGGAUAACAGUUGGAAACGACUGCUAAUACCGCAUAAGCGCACAGGAUCGCAUGAUCCGAUGCGAAAAACUCCGGUGGUAUGGGAUGGACCCGCGUCUGAUUAGCCAGUUGGCAGGGUAACGGCCUACCAAAGCGACGAUCAGUAGCCGACCUGAGAGGGUGACCGGCCACAUUGGGACUGAGACACGGCCCAA
Molecule: ribosomal RNA, 226 nt
Filed under: uncultured bacterium
Lineage: Bacteria
Description: partial 16S ribosomal RNA
Rfam family: Bacterial small subunit ribosomal RNA
Source: RNAcentral